UUCGGGGUGACGAAGAGUGGAAUGAGCGGCGGACGGGUGAGUAACACGUGGGCAACCUACCUGUAAGAUCGGGAUAACUCGCGGAAACGUGAGCUAAUACCGGAUAACACUUUUUACCUCAUGGUGAGAAGAUGAAAGGCGGCGCAAGCUGUCACUUACAGAUGGGCCCGCGGCGCAUUAGCUAGUUGGUGGGGUAAUGGCUCACCAAGGCAACGAUGCGUAGCCGACCUGAGAGGGUGAUCGGCCACACUGGGACUGAGACACGGCCCAGACUCCUACGGGAGGCAGCAGUAGGGAAUCUUCCGCAAUGGACGAAAGUCUGACGGAGCAACGCCGCGUGAGUGAUGAAGGUUUUCGGAUCGUAAAACUCUGUUGUUAGGGAAGAACAAGUAUGAUAGUAACUGAUCAUACCUUGACGGUACCUAACCAGAAAGCCACGGCUAACUACGUGCCAGCAGCCGCGGUAAUACGUAGGUGGCAAGCGUUGUCCGGAAUUAUUGGGCGUAAAGCGCUCGCAGGCGGUCUUUUAAGUCUGAUGUGAAAUCUCGUGGCUUAACCACGAACGGUCAUUGGAAACUGGAGGACUUGAGUACAGAAGAGGAGAGUGGAAUUCCACGUGUAGCGGUGAAAUGCGUAGAGAUGUGGAGGAACACCAGUGGCGAAGGCGACUCUCUGGUCUGUAACUGACGCUGA
Molecule: ribosomal RNA, 693 nt
Filed under: Oceanobacillus chungangensis
Lineage: Bacteria; Bacillati; Bacillota; Bacilli; Caryophanales; Bacillaceae
Description: bacterial SSU rRNA
Rfam family: Bacterial small subunit ribosomal RNA
Source: RNAcentral